RNAcentral lists this ribosomal RNA (458 nucleotides) under uncultured bacterium. RNAcentral's name for it is "bacterial SSU rRNA". It matches the Rfam family "Bacterial small subunit ribosomal RNA", at positions 32 to 481 of the family's 1533-position model. The record is from RNAcentral.
AAUCAACGCUGGCGGCGUGCCUAACACAUGCAAGUCGAACGAUUAAAGCCCUUUCGGGGGUGUAUAGAGUGGCGUACGGGUGAGUAACACGUGGGUAAUCUACCUUUGGGUGGGGAAUAACUCAGGGAAACUUGAGCUAAUACCGCAUAAUGCAGCGGCUCGACAUCGAGACAGUUGUUAAAGCAGCAAUGCGCCUAAAGAGGAGCCUGCGCCUGAUUAGGUAGUUGGCGGAGUAAUAGCCCACCAAGCCAUCGAUCAGUAGCUGGUCUGAGAGGAUGAUCAGCCACACUGGGACUGAGACACGGCCCAGACUCCUACGGGAGGCAGCAGUGAGGAAUUUUGCACAAUGGGGGAAACCCUGAUGCAGCGACGCCGCGUGAAGGAUGAAGGAGCUAUGCUUCGUAAACUUCUGUCGGAAGGGAAAAAAGACUCGAUCUUCGGGCGUGGGAUUGUACCUU